This 253-nucleotide ribosomal RNA is filed under the name uncultured bacterium. Its description in RNAcentral is "partial 16S ribosomal RNA". It matches the Rfam family "Bacterial small subunit ribosomal RNA", at positions 524 to 776 of the family's 1533-position model. The record is from RNAcentral.
UACGUAGGGAGCAAGCGUUGUCCGGAAUCAUUGGGCGUAAAGCGCGCGUAGGUGGCCCCAUAAGUCCGCUGUGAAAGUCAAAGGCUCAACCUUUGAAAGCCGGUGGAUACUGUGGGACUAGAGUACGGAAGAGGCGAGUGGAAUUCCUGGUGUAGCGGUGGAAUGCGCAGAUAUCAGGAGGAACACCAAUAGCGAUGGCAGCUCGCUGGGACGUUACUGACACUGAGGCGCGAAAGCGUGGGGAGCGAACAGG